UGGGGAAUAUUGCACAAUGGGCGAAAGCCUGAUGCAGCGACGCCGCGUGAGGGAUGACGGCCUUCGGGUUGUAAACCUCUUUCGACAGGGACGAAGCGCAAGUGACGGUACCUGUAGAAGAAGCACCGGCCAACUACGUGCCAGCAGCCGCGGUAAUACGUAGGGUGCGAGCGUUGUCCGGAAUUACUGGGCGUAAAGAGCUUGUAGGCGGUUUGUCGCGUCGUCUGUGAAAACUCACAGCUCACUGGGAGCUCGUGGCGAUACGGGGGNANCAGACUUGAGUACUGCAGGGGAGACUGGAAUUCCUGGUGUAGCGGUGAAAUGCGCAGAUAUCAGGAGGAACACCGGUGGCGAAGGCGGGUCUCUGGGCAGUAACUGACGCUGAGAAGCGAAAGCGUGGGUAGCGAACAGGAUUAGAUACCCUGGUAGUCCACGCCGUAACGGUGGGUACUAGGUGUGGGUUUCCUUCCACGGGAUCCGUGCCGUAGCUNACGCAUUAAGUACCCCGCCUGGGGAGUACGGCCGCAAGGCU
RNAcentral lists this ribosomal RNA (532 nucleotides) under uncultured bacterium. Its description in RNAcentral is "bacterial SSU rRNA". It matches the Rfam family "Bacterial small subunit ribosomal RNA", at positions 355 to 895 of the family's 1533-position model. The record is from RNAcentral.